This 515-nucleotide ribosomal RNA is filed under the name uncultured bacterium. RNAcentral describes it as "partial 16S ribosomal RNA". It matches the Rfam family "Bacterial small subunit ribosomal RNA", at positions 28 to 523 of the family's 1533-position model. The record is from RNAcentral.
GAUGAACGCUGGCGGCGUGCCUAAUACAUGCAAGUCGAGCGAAUGGAUUAAGAGCUUGCUCUUAUGAAGUUAGCGGCGGACGGGUGAGUAACACGUGGGUAACCUGCCCAUAAGACUGGGAUAACUCCGGGAAACCGGGGCUAAUACCGGAUAACAUUUUGAACCGCAUGGUUCGAAAUUGAAAGGCGGCUUCGGCUGUCACUUAUGGAUGGACCCGCGUCGCAUUAGCUAGUUGGUGAGGUAACGGCUCACCAAGGCAACGACGCGUAGCCGACCUGGGAGGGGGAUCGGCCACACUGGGGCUGAGACACGGCCCAGACUCCUACGGGAGGCAGCAGUAGGGAAUCUUCCGCAAUGGACGAAAGUCUGACGGAGCAACGCCGCGUGAGUGAUGAAGGCUUUCGGGUCGUAAAACUCUGUUGUUAGGGAAGAACAAGUGCUAGUUGAAUAAGCUGGCACCUUGACGGUACCUAACCAGAAAGCCACGGCUAACUACGUGCCAGCAGCCGCAGUAA